RNAcentral lists this long non-coding RNA (222 nucleotides) under Homo sapiens (human). RNAcentral's name for it is "long non-coding RNA NONHSAT143315.2". Lineage: Eukaryota; Metazoa; Chordata; Mammalia; Primates; Hominidae. The record is from RNAcentral.
AUGAAUUAGGAGGCGGACGCCGGUGCGGGGCUCCAGGCUGGCUGGGGUACCCCUCCCCCGCACCUUCUACGACCUCCCGGGGGUUUGCACCUGUCCGGGCACCAAGUGCCGGUGCAGCUGACGACAGCCCUGCGUGUGGUGGGCACCAGCCUGUUUGCCCUGGCAGUGCUGGGUGGCAUCCUGGCAGCCUAUGUGACGGGCUACCAGUUCAUCCACACGGAA